UAUGAACGCUGGCGGCGUGCCUAAUACAUGCAAGUCGAGCGAACAGAUGAGGAGCUUGCUCCUCUGACGUUAGCGGCGGACGGGUGAGUAACACGUGGAUAACCUACCUAUAAGACUGGGAUAACUUCGGGAAACCGGAGCUAAUACCGGAUAAUAUAUUGAACCGCAUGGUUCAAUAGUGAAAGACGGUUUUGCUGUCACUUAUAGAUGGAUCCGCGCCGCAUUAGCUAGUUGGUAAGGUAACGGCUUACCAAGGCGACGAUGCGUAGCCGACCUGAGAGGGUGAUCGGCCACACUGGAACUGAGACACGGUCCAGACUCCUACGGGAGGCAGCAGUAGGGAAUCUUCCGCAAUGGGCGAAAGCUUGACGGAGCAACGCCGCGUGAGUGAUGAAGGUCUUCGGAUCGUAAAACUCUGUUAUUAGGGAAGAACAAAUGUGUAAGUAACUAUGCACGUCUUGACGGUACCUAAUCAGAAAGCCACGGCUAACUACGUG
This 497-nucleotide ribosomal RNA is filed under the name uncultured bacterium. Its description in RNAcentral is "partial 16S ribosomal RNA". It matches the Rfam family "Bacterial small subunit ribosomal RNA", at positions 29 to 507 of the family's 1533-position model. The record is from RNAcentral.